UGCGUAACGCGUGAGCGACAUGCCCGUUGCCCGGGGACAACCGGUGGAAACGCCGACUAAUCCCCGAUGGGAUACGAUGCUGCAUGGCAUUGUAUUGAAAGUUACGGCGGCGACGGAUUGGCUCGCGUCCGAUUAGCUUGUUGGCGGGGUGACGGCCCACCAAGGCUACGAUCGGUAGGGGUUCUGAGAGGAAGGCCCCCCACAAUGGGACUGAGACACGGCCCAUACUCCUACGGGAGGCAGCAGUGAGGAAUAUUGGUCAAUGGGCGGAAGCCUGAACCAGCCAUGCCGCGUGCGGGAAGGAGGCCCUAUGGGCUGUGAACCGCUUUUGCCUGGGGGCAAUAAGGGCGUCGCGCACGUCCGAUGAGAGUACCAGGCGAAUAAGCAUCGGCUAACUCCGUGCCAGCAGCCGCGGUAAUACGGGGGAUGCGAGCGUUAUCCGGAUUCAUUGGGUUUAAAGGGUGCGUAGGCUGUGCGUCAAGUCGGGGGUGAAAUUCCGGUGCUCAACACCGGGGCUGCCCUUGAUACUGUCGCGCUGGAGUGCGGAUGCCGCCGGAGGAAUGAGUGGUGUAGCGGUGAAAUGCUUAGAUAUCACUCAGAACACCGAUUGCGAAGGCAUCUGGCGAAUCCGUAACUGACGCUGAGGCACGAAAGCGUGGGGAUAGAACAGGAUUAGAUACCCUGGUAUUCCACGCCGUAACGAUGAUGGCUAACCGCCGGCGACACACUGUCGGUGGCCAAGCGAAAGCGAUAAGCCAUCCACCUGGGGAGUACGUCGGCAA
RNAcentral lists this ribosomal RNA (782 nucleotides) under uncultured Bacteroidota bacterium. Its description in RNAcentral is "bacterial SSU rRNA". It matches the Rfam family "Bacterial small subunit ribosomal RNA", at positions 107 to 891 of the family's 1533-position model. Lineage: Bacteria; Pseudomonadati; Bacteroidota. The record is from RNAcentral.